AUCAGUGUGGUAUUUAAGACGGGAAGCAACGGCUGUUCUUCGCUGGAUCGUUGUGAGAAUUGCAUUCCCUGGACUGUUUUCCUGGUGUGCGAGUGGAUUCGUGUCUGGAUUGUGUGGAGAGAGACGAGCGUGUUCCCCUGGAUCUUCCCCGGAGCCCUGCCCCCCUCACCUUUUGUACAUAGCACUGCCCCGUAUCUGUCUUUAUACACUCAUUGGACAUUGUUCUGUAAUAAAUUCUCUUGUGUACAUCAUCCCCGGAGUCCUGCGCAUGAGUCCACCUUGUACGUCGUGACAGUGGCACUGGAUGCACCAUUUGAUUAUACCGUAGAGCCAGCAGUUGUUGAAGAUCUGCCUCCUGCUGUGCAGCAGGUUGUUCAAAAUAAGGCACUUUUCUGUGGACACGUAACAAUGCCAAAAUAUCUGUCCUUAAAUAAAGAGGACCAGCAGAGGGUUAAGAGACAUGUCGGAGGAAGGAGACACUGGAACAAGGGACUUCUUCCUCUUUGUUUUUCAGUUUGCAGAGGACAUGGAGCUCUUUUUAAAAGCAUGUGCUGACUACGGGUCAAUGCGAUGUUUGACAUG
Long non-coding RNA from Astatotilapia calliptera (eastern happy), 582 nucleotides. The record is from Ensembl. Lineage: Eukaryota; Metazoa; Chordata; Actinopteri; Cichliformes; Cichlidae.